RNAcentral lists this ribosomal RNA (253 nucleotides) under uncultured bacterium. Its description in RNAcentral is "partial 16S ribosomal RNA". It matches the Rfam family "Bacterial small subunit ribosomal RNA", at positions 524 to 776 of the family's 1533-position model. The record is from RNAcentral.
UACGAAGGGGGCUAGCGUUGUUCGGAAUUACUGGGCGUAAAGCGCGCGCAGGCGGUCCUUUAAGUCAGGGGUGAAAGCCCAGAGCUCAACUCUGGAACUGCCUUUGAAACUAGAGGACUUGGGUACGGGAGAGGUGAGUGGAAUUCCGAGUGUAGAGGUGAAAUUCGUAGAUAUUCGCAAGAACACCAGUGGCGAAGGCGGCUCACUGGCCCGGUACUGACGCUGAGGCACGAAAGCGUGGGGAGCAAACAGG